RNAcentral lists this ribosomal RNA (439 nucleotides) under uncultured bacterium. RNAcentral describes it as "partial 16S ribosomal RNA". It matches the Rfam family "Bacterial small subunit ribosomal RNA", at positions 339 to 795 of the family's 1533-position model. The record is from RNAcentral.
CUACGGGGUGCUCCAGUGGGGAAUUUUGCGCAAUGGGGGAAACCCUGACGCAGCAAUACCGCGUGAGUGAAGAAGGCCUUUGGGUCGUAAAGCUCUUUUCUUGGGGAAGAUAGUGACGGUACCCAAGGAAUAAGCACCGGCUAACUCCGUGCCAGCAGCCGCGGUAAUACGGAGGGUGCAAGCGUUGUUCGGAUUUACUGGGCGUAAAGGGCACGUAGGCGGCACAGCAAGUUAAGGGUGAAAUCCCGGGGCUCAACUCCGGAACUGCUCUUAAAACUGCUGAGCUAGAGAUAGUCAGAGGCGGGUGGAAUUCCAGGUGUAGAGGUGAAAUUCGUAGAUAUCUGGAGGAACACCGGUGGCGAAGGCGGCCCGCUGGGGCUAUUCUGACGCUAAGGCGCGAAAGCGUGGGGAGCAAACGGGAUUAGAUACCCCUGUAGUC